This is a long non-coding RNA of Panthera uncia (snow leopard), 1122 nucleotides long. RefSeq lists it as uncharacterized. The record is from RefSeq and is a predicted model, not a curated record. Lineage: Eukaryota; Metazoa; Chordata; Mammalia; Carnivora; Felidae. The transcript is spliced from 4 exons.
CGCCCCGGGCGUGUCUGCCCUCGGUUCCGCCCCGCAGCCGGGCGGCGGGCCUGCAAGGCCCCGCUCCGUCGCGGAUAAGGUUUCUUUGAGGUUUCUGUGAGGAGCGGGCCCCUGUGCUGACGCAGGCGGAGCGGUGGAGCUGGAGACUCGAGAGCAGAGGGUGUGGCUCCCGCGCGAGGCUGUCAGGCUGCUGCCCAAGCAGAACCGUCGUGGGAGUUGGCGUGUGAAAAUGAAACACUUGGAGAAGAAGAAAGGCAACCUGAAUGGCAGAUGCUUUGAGUUAUUUUAAAGACCCAUCUGGAAUGAAAGGUCCUGGAAAGACAUCCUCUGUGGGUCGGCGUCAUGCUUGUGUCUUUGCCACUGUCUUCACUCAUCCACAUGGUAGAGAUCAAAGCUUCCAGAAGCUUCAAACAUGGCUAUCCAGAAAUAAGGAGCCUUUGGAAUGUGAAUGACACCACAUCAUGUAUUCCACCAAGAAGGCAAGUAAGACCGGUUCUCGAGCGACAAGGCAUCGCUGAGCAAAGAAAUCGACAGUCAGGAGCCUGGCCUGCACACAGAAGAAAUGAAUAAUUUCUCUAUCGGUUGGAAAUUGAGAAGCUUGGAGGAACUUGGAUUUAUUGGUGUGAAGAAAUGGUAAUUAUUUUGUGAAUUAAAAGAACACCCUAAACGUAGCUUCAGCAGACCGCUAGCGAAUCCUGCGACAUAAAUAAAGCAUGAUAUUCAUCUGGAAUGGAAGCGUUGGAAGCAUUUUAGUAGCUGUGCUUUUGAAUAGUUACAGCUGCUUCUCCUACAAACAGUGCAGGUGCCCAUGAGAUUAUCAACAUCAUUCCCAACUUUUUAUCAAUGAACUGAGGGCAUGGGAAGCUGGACUCUUGAAUGAGCUGAGUGCAGCUUUAUUUUCCCAUUUAGUUAUUAUACAGGUUCUUCGGACGCCUGGGUGGCUCAGUCAGUUAAGUGUCUGACUCUUGAUUUCAGCUCAGGUCAUGAUCCCAGGGUUGUGGGAUCAAGCCCCACAUCGGGCUCUGCACUGACAGCAUGGAGCCUGCUUGGGAUUCUCUCUCUCCCUGUCUCCCUGCCCCUCCCCUGCUCAUGCUGUCUGUUUCUCUCUCUCUCUCUCUCUCU